CGUGGGCGUAGGAAAUUUGAGAGGAGCUGUCCUUAGUACGAGAGGACCGGGAUGGACAUACCUCUGGUGUACCAGUUGUCGUGCCAACGGCAUAGCUGGGUAGCUAUGUAUGGACGGGAUAAGUGCUGAAAGCAUCUAAGCAUGAAGCCCCCCUCAAGAUGAGAUUUCCCAACUUCGGUUAUAAGAUCCCUCGAAGAUGACGAGGUUAAUAGGUUCGAGGUGGAAGCGUGGUGACACGUGGAGCUGACGAAUACUAAUCGAUCGAAGACUUAAUCAA
Molecule: ribosomal RNA, 277 nt
Filed under: Staphylococcus epidermidis NIH08001
Lineage: Bacteria; Bacillati; Bacillota; Bacilli; Caryophanales; Staphylococcaceae
Description: partial 23S ribosomal RNA
Rfam family: Bacterial large subunit ribosomal RNA
Source: RNAcentral